RNAcentral lists this ribosomal RNA (154 nucleotides) under Nectriaceae sp. RNAcentral's name for it is "partial large subunit ribosomal RNA". It matches the Rfam family "Eukaryotic large subunit ribosomal RNA", at positions 99 to 258 of the family's 3401-position model. Lineage: Eukaryota; Fungi; Ascomycota; Sordariomycetes; Hypocreales; Nectriaceae. The record is from RNAcentral.
CGGUAACAGCUCAAAUUUGAAAUCUGCCGCCAGGCCGAGUUGUAAUUUGUAGAAGAUGCUUUUGGUGAGGUACCUUCCGAGUUCCCUGGAACGGGACGCCAUAGAGGGUGAGAGCCCCGUCUGGUUGGAUACCGAUCCUCUGUAAAGCUCCUUC